GCGGGUAUAUAUCAAUGGUAGAUUCUCUGCCUUCCAAGCAGAAGGUACGGGUUCGAGUCCCGUUACCCGCU
This 71-nucleotide transfer RNA is filed under the name bacterium TMED88. RNAcentral's name for it is "tRNA-Gly". It matches the Rfam family "tRNA". Rfam says of the family: Transfer RNA (tRNA) molecules are approximately 80 nucleotides in length. RNAcentral also lists the same sequence under 2 other names. The record is from RNAcentral.